Dreissena polymorpha is the source of this 393-nucleotide long non-coding RNA. RefSeq lists it as uncharacterized. The transcript has 3 exons. NCBI's taxonomy places the organism in Eukaryota, Metazoa, Mollusca, Bivalvia, Myida, Dreissenidae. The record is from RefSeq and is a predicted model, not a curated record.
CCUGCAACUGUCUCUGGUGGUGUUGGUGUUCUGCUGACAAUUGACAUUGCUUUCAGUACGUGCUUGACGGACUGAGUAAACACAAGAUGGCUAACACAUUCACAAUGAUCUUGGUGGUGGCCACCGUUGUCGUCUAUGCGCAUGCCCAGUGGGACACAUUCCCUUUAGGCCUCCACGCUUAUUGUUUGAAGAAAACACCUGAAGUAUACCAACCUUGCAGAAUGCGAACCAUUUGGACGUUCGACUGGUGCGCACUAAGGUGUGUCCAGCGAACUGGAUGUUUCGCACAGGGUGACCAAGAAAUCAACGCAUUUCCUUCGCAACAAGGUUGCUACAUGUGGUGCAGCAAUUCCUUCGAAGUGUAAUGAAAUACAGUAUAGAAUAAAUUUAUUA